RNAcentral lists this ribosomal RNA (481 nucleotides) under uncultured bacterium. Its description in RNAcentral is "partial 16S ribosomal RNA". It matches the Rfam family "Bacterial small subunit ribosomal RNA", at positions 28 to 507 of the family's 1533-position model. The record is from RNAcentral.
GAUGAACGCUGGCGGCGUGCUUAACACAUGCAAGUCGAACGAAGCAUUUAGGACAGAUUACUUCGGUUUGAAGUUCUUUAUGACUGAGUGGCGGACGGGUGAGUAACGCGUGGGUAACCUGCCUUGUACUGGGGGAUAGCAGCUGGAAACGGCUGGUAAUACCGCAUAAGCGCACAAUGUUGCAUGACAUGGUGUGAAAAACUCCGGUGGUAUAAGAUGGACCCGCGUCUGAUUAGCUAGUUGGUGAGAUAACAGCCCACCAAGGCGACGAUCAGUAGCCGACCUGAGAGGGUGACCGGCCACAUUGGGACUGAGACACGGCCCAGACUCCUACGGGAGGCAGCAGUGGGGAAUAUUGCACAAUGGAGGAAACUCUGAUGCAGCGACGCCACGUGAGUGAAGAAGUAAUUCGUUAUGUAAAGCUCUAUCAGCAGGGAAGAUAGUGACGGUACCUGACUAAGAAGCUCCGGCUAAAUACGUG